UGGCCAUAUAACGGUGAAACAUCGGUUCUUGUACGAUCACCGAAAUGAAGCAAGGUCGAUCCUAAUCAGUACCUGGAUUGGUGACCAUAUGGGAAUACCAGUUGCUGUAA
Non-coding RNA from Acanthosepion pharaonis, 110 nucleotides. The record is from the annotation of a GenBank genome assembly. Lineage: Eukaryota; Metazoa; Mollusca; Cephalopoda; Sepiida; Sepiidae.